AUGAUAAGUAAAUAAGGCACCGCAUGCGGAAAGGUAUAUAGAGGGACUAGGAAAAGUUUACCUUGUCUGGAAUCUCACAAACCAAUUUCUCAUUAUGUUGCUUAAUAGUAUAGCUUGAUAUCAUGUCCUCUUAAAUGGUAGAGAUUAAUGUUCAAUGGUUGUCGUAGUUUUUGUGGUUGAAAAGAUAAUGGCAUAAGUUAGACUUAAUCUGAUGGUAUUGACUAAAAGAUGAAAUUGAAGGCUGUUUUUUCAAUCUUUCAGCUGAGUUGUGCUUCGGCCAUCUUCCACAUUCAAACUGUUGACCUUUAAUGAGGCUUAAUAUCAACUUGGUCAGUGAGGACCUAGGAGCUGUAGUUCGCUCUAGUACUAGAAUGCCAGCACUACAGUGUGUGAAGGUUCCAAAUUUGAGCUGAAAGUCUGAGUUUAUACAGAAAUUAUCAGUUUUAGUACUCGAUUAAAUUCUCUGUUGCCCAAUGCCAGAACAAGGACCUGAGUGGUUCCUUCUUUGGUGACUAGAGCUACUUGUACAGCAUGGCCACCAGAAGUUGUCGAUGCUCCACUUAUUUAUAUAUCCAUUGGAGAAAGCAGUAUUCUUUUUAAGGUACAUGAACAAGGUACUUUGCUAUCUAAAGAAAAGUUUAUCUGCAGUUACACUAGCUUCUGGAUUUAUGUACUGCCUGUUCAUACGUAAAACUUUCCGAUGGUGAGCUACUUUGGUUGAUACCGUUAAGAGGGUCUUCUGGUUUUUAGUAUGAGUAAGCCGUGAGUUUUGUGAUUGCUUCCUUUUGGAUGGCUCCUUGCACUUUCAUUUCGUUCACUUAGCAUGUGUUAAUCACUAUGAAAUUCAAUAUUUAAUUUCAUGAUUUGUAUACCUAAUGUGCUCCAUUAGUUUUCUAAGAUGAACCAGUGCUCCUUGAAUCUCAAAAUUUGAAAUACUUUCUACAUAAAGUCCGGCCAUCAUCUGGUUGUGGAAAUAUGAUGUCCCCUUUUUGGUGCAUAUUAGCAUUGGUUAAUGAUUGUCAGUGCUUCUACCAGUUGGACAAAAAAGUGUCAGGAGAACGGUUGUUAUAUGAGUUUGCUAAAGGGGGUCGAAAUUUUGAGAUAGUGAUGAUUUGACAAUUCUAGCUGAUAGGUACUUGAAAAUCUUGGUUUGUUAAUGUAAAUUACAACCAAAAAUGAACAGUCUCAACAAGAGACCAUAAUCAGACUAUUUGAAGCAUAUCUUUCAAAUUGCAGUUUGUCUUGAUUGGUCUAUUAAAUUUGCCAGAACUUACGGUAUUAUUUUCAUGUUUUUCUCCAGAUGAAAACAUGGCAACUUCCUUCACUGGACUAUUCAUGUUCAUCACUUUGGUCAAGUAUGUUCUGAUCAUAUUACCAGAUGAUGUGUAUUCAUUGUUUUCAUUCUCUUGUAGUCAUCAGCUUCCUCUUAGUAUAUCUUCUUGGCAAAUGGUUGUUGCACUUCCUUCACGUCUUCAGCUUUUGGUUAUUAAUCUACAUGGUAGGGGUCGAUGCCAAACCUCCCGUCAUUACAAGACGGCUUUAAAUAAAUAAAAAAAAUGGUUGUUGCACUGCUUCGUUUUGUUCUUUCCCUUUAUUAUAGGGUAAUGAGCUAAUUAAGGCCAUGUAUUUCCCAUUCUCAUCUCAGAGUGAGAAAAGAAAUACAAGGUAGUGCACGUAUCUUGGAAAAUCUUUUAACUGAAGUUUUUCGCUUGAUUCUUCUGUCACACACACUCACAAAAAUAUUUGUUUACACGUUACGCGUACACCACAAUUCUUUCUUUUUUGGUUACAAAGACGUGCGUUACUUGUAAAUGGGAGCUCCAGGAGAAAAAAAGUAAAACAUGGUAUGGCGUUGUUCUCUUGGAUAUUGUUUUCCUAUUUCAAGUGUGCCCAAAAUUAUUCUAAACAACAUCUUAGGACUUCAGCUUCCAAGUUUUUAGGUGUCUCUACUGUAUGUAUACUAAUUAUAACCUUUUUCUUCAUUUAGAGAAGAAAUUGCCACUUCAUAUGUAGUGAAAAUGCAGAACCUAGCUUCUCAUCUAUCGCAACUGUUUCCGCUGUCCACACUCCUGUCUCUACAAUUAGCAUCCACAGGGAAGAUGUAAAGCUAAUACUACUGCAGCAAUUGAUAAUGAAAUUGAUUUGGUUGAUGAGUUGGAACAUAUGUUUAUACUUUCUGAAGAAAAGGGGAACCCUUGCAAUUACUUGGUUAGUCUGUCUUGCUAGGCAUGCAGGUAUAUAGGACAGUGCUGUCAAAGGAAAGAUCAAGGUACUUAGUAUUUUGCCUCAUCUGAUGUUGUUUCAAAAAAUUUCAUUACCUCUCUUAUAUAGGCAGAAUAUUUUGCACUGGGCUAUAUUACUGUUGGAGAGAGUUGCUAUAUUGGAAAUGUCUGAUAAACCAGUUGCAUUUACGAGGAAGAAACUUAAUCCUAUUUCUAGUGGGGAUGUCAUUUUUGUAUUGCGUUUACUUCUUGUCCUUGCAAUUAAUCUUCAUGCUUUUAGUUAAGAAUCUACUAACCUUGUGCCAUUCACAACAGUGUUAUCAAAGACUCGCUUAAACUUCUAAGAGAUACACAGCUCAGAUUGGGAGCUCCGUGUCACUUAGGUGGUGCUUCGAUGAAGAAGCUAAGGUGCAAGAGAGUGCACCUUCAGGAAAAUCCGCCGACUAACAGUUACAAAGAAAAGGUUAACUUAUGAGGUGCAUAGUGUCUAUCUCGAGGAGGACGAGAGAGAUGAAUGACAGGCG
This 2746-nucleotide long non-coding RNA is filed under the name Nicotiana tabacum (common tobacco). Its description in RNAcentral is "long non-coding RNA (NTAB_LNC018482)". Lineage: Eukaryota; Viridiplantae; Streptophyta; Magnoliopsida; Solanales; Solanaceae. The record is from RNAcentral.